Long non-coding RNA from Sphaerodactylus townsendi, 148 nucleotides. RefSeq lists it as uncharacterized. Lineage: Eukaryota; Metazoa; Chordata; Lepidosauria; Squamata; Sphaerodactylidae. The transcript has 3 exons. The record is from RefSeq and is a predicted model, not a curated record.
AUGGCCUGGUGCGCCAGGAAAAAGACGUUUUAUCUGGCUCAGGUAUGGACUUUUGGCGAUUUGAAGGUCAGAUUACCUGCCCACAACAGGGAGGAACAUCAUGAGAAAAUUUGGGGUCCAGACGUUUCGGAGGAAGACCACCUGGGAC